AUACGGAGGAUCCGAGCGUUAUCCGGAUUUAUUGGGUUUAAAGGGUGCGCAGGCGGCCACUUAAGUCAGCGGUUAAAUCGUGGGGCUCAACCCCAUUCUGCCGUUGAUACUGGGUGGCUUGAUUGCGGUCGAGGUUGGCGGAAUUCGUUGUGUAGCGGUGAAAUGCAUAGAUAUGACGAAGAAAACCGAUUGCGUAGGCAGCUGACCAGAUCGCAAAUGACGCUCAUGCACGAAAGUGCGGGGAUCGAACAGGAUUAGAUACCCUGGUAGUCCGCACAGUAAACGAUGAAUACUUGUUUUCGGCGAUAUAAUGUCGGAGGCAAAGCGAAAGCGAUAAGUAUUCCACCUGGGGAGUACGCCGGCAACGGUGAAACUCAAAGGAAUUGACGUGG
This 392-nucleotide ribosomal RNA is filed under the name uncultured bacterium. RNAcentral's name for it is "partial 16S ribosomal RNA". It matches the Rfam family "Bacterial small subunit ribosomal RNA", at positions 523 to 918 of the family's 1533-position model. The record is from RNAcentral.